AGGACGAACGCUGGCGGCGUGCCUAACACAUGCAAGUCGAACGAGGUCCAUCCGGUAGCAAUACUGGUGAAGAUCAAGUGGCGAACGGGUGAGUAGCACGUGAGCAACCUGCCCCGAAGACCGGGACAACACCGGGAAACCGGUGCUAAUACCGGAUAUCCCCACCGAGUCGCAUGACUUGGUGAGGAAAUGGAUUCCGCUUUGGGAGGGGCUCGCGGCCUAUCAGCUUGUUGGUGAGGUAACGGCUCACCAAGGCUUCGACGGGUAGCUGGUCUGAGAGGACGAUCAGCCACACUGGGACUGAGACACGGCCCAGACUCCUACGGGAGGCAGCAGUGGGGAAUCUUGCACAAUGGGCGAAAGCCUGAUGCAGCAACGCCGCGUGAGGGACGAAGGCUUUCUGAGUUGUAAACCUCUUUCAGCAGGGACGAUUGUGACGGUACCUGCAGAAGAAGCCCGGCAACUACGCGCCAGCAGCCGCGGUAAU
RNAcentral lists this ribosomal RNA (487 nucleotides) under uncultured bacterium. RNAcentral describes it as "SSU rRNA". It matches the Rfam family "Bacterial small subunit ribosomal RNA", at positions 26 to 524 of the family's 1533-position model. The record is from RNAcentral.